AAAUGAAUAGACGGGGACCCGCACAAGCAGCGGAGCAUGGGGUUUAAUUCGACGCAACGCGAAAAACCUUACCAGGCCUUGACAUCCUUUGACCGCCUAAGAGAUUAGGUUUCUCUAGCAAUAGAGCAGAGAGACAGGUGGUGCAUGGUUGUCGUCAGCUCGUGUCGUGAGAUGUUCGGUUAAGUCCGACAACGAGCGCAACCCUUGUAUACAGUUGCCAAUAUUAAGUUAGGAACUCUGUAUAAACUGCCGUGGAUAACACGGAGGAAGGUGGGGAUGACGUCAAAUCAUCACGCCCCUUACGGCCUGGGCUACACCCGUGCUACAAUGGCUAUUACAAAGAGCAGCUAAACAGUAAUGUCAUGCGAAUCUCAAAAAGAUAGUCUCAGUUCAGAUUGUGGGCUGCAACUCGCCCACAUGAAGUAGGAGUUGCUAGUAAUCCCAAAUCAGCAUGUUGGGGUGAAUGCGUUCCCGGGUCUUGUACACACCGCCCGU
Molecule: ribosomal RNA, 495 nt
Filed under: uncultured bacterium
Lineage: Bacteria
Description: bacterial SSU rRNA
Rfam family: Bacterial small subunit ribosomal RNA
Source: RNAcentral